UACGGAGGAUGCGAGCGUUAUCCGGAUUUAUUGGGUUUAAAGGGUGCGUAGGCGGUUUGAUAAGUCAGUGGUGAAAGUUUUCAGCUUAACUGGAAAAAUGCCAUUGAUACUGUCAGGCUAGAAUAUGGUUGCUGUGAGUGGAAUGUGUGGUGUAGCGGUGAAAUGCUUAGAUAUCACACAGAAUAUCGAUUGCGAAGGCAGCUCACAAAGCCAUUAUUGACGCUGAGGCACGAAAGUGUGGGGAUCAAACAGG
RNAcentral lists this ribosomal RNA (253 nucleotides) under uncultured organism. RNAcentral describes it as "partial 16S ribosomal RNA". It matches the Rfam family "Bacterial small subunit ribosomal RNA", at positions 524 to 776 of the family's 1533-position model. The record is from RNAcentral.